Molecule: ribosomal RNA, 476 nt
Filed under: uncultured Roseivirga sp.
Lineage: Bacteria; Pseudomonadati; Bacteroidota; Cytophagia; Cytophagales; Roseivirgaceae
Description: bacterial SSU rRNA
Rfam family: Bacterial small subunit ribosomal RNA
Source: RNAcentral
AGAGUUUGAUCCUGGCUCAGGAUGAACGCUAGCGGCAGGCCUAAUACAUGCAAGUCGAACGGUAAGUGUGGUAGCAAUAUUACACGAGAGUGACGUACGGGUGCGUAACACGUAUGCAACCUACCCAAAACAGGAGUAUAGCUCGGGGAAACUCGAAUUAACCCUCCAUAAGAUCAAGGUGUAGCAUUACACAGUGAUAAAAACUGAGGUGGUUUUGGAUGGGCAUGCGUCUGAUUAGCUAGUUGGCGGGGUAACGGCCCACCAAGGCGAUGAUCAGUAGGGGAACUGAGAGGUUGAUCCCCCACACUGGCACUGAGAUACGGGCCAGACUCCUACGGGAGGCAGCAGUAGGGAAUAUUGGUCAAUGGGUGAGAGCCUGAACCAGCCAUGCCGCGUGCAGGAAGAAGGCCUUCUGGGUUGUAAACUGCUUUUGCCAGGGGAUAAAAAUUCCAUGCGUGGAAGAUGAAGGUACCUGG